RNAcentral lists this unclassified non-coding RNA (377 nucleotides) under Hevea brasiliensis (rubber tree). The record is from RNAcentral. Lineage: Eukaryota; Viridiplantae; Streptophyta; Magnoliopsida; Malpighiales; Euphorbiaceae.
GAUAGCAGUGAUGCUUUGUCCAUUCUGGACACGUUGGGAACCACCGCUCGCAGGGCGUAGAACCGAUGGUUGAGCUUCUCGCGCCGCUGCCGCUCGGCCUCUACGUGGUUCAGUGCCGUGUCUCUGCCAAGCCCCGGUUUUCUCCCUCUUUUCUUCGGGAUUCUUUUAUUUAUAUUCGCUGCAAUUAAAGGAUAGUCUGAGUCAGAAUGCUCGGAGUCCACAUAGGACACGCCUGCUUUAGCAUUCUCUUUCUUUGCUUCGUCUUCUUGUGCUAACUUCUCUUUAGGGGCUGCAUCUUCUCCUUGUAUUCCUGCAAUUAUGCCCAUAUCAGCAAAAGAAAUGUUCAUGUCGAGUAACUGGAUGGGUGCUGCGGCGGG